GGCUCGUUUAAUUUUCAUAGAAUUUUGACAAAGUAUUUACUUUGACCCUUUAACAAAAAUAUAAAAAAUUCAAAAAAAUUGAACCAAGCGUUUUAUCAGAAAAAUUACACUGGUUAUGUAGCAGUUUGACAAACUCUAAUUUUGAUCAUUGAGAAGCUUUAUAUUGCCUUCACAACGCAACGUAAUUAAAACGUUUAGCUGAUAUUUCAGAGUUAUCUCCCUGUAG
This 226-nucleotide long non-coding RNA is filed under the name Mytilus galloprovincialis (Mediterranean mussel). Lineage: Eukaryota; Metazoa; Mollusca; Bivalvia; Mytilida; Mytilidae. The record is from RNAcentral.